CCAGCCACCGCUGUCAGAUUCAUUAAUAGACUUUGAAAAAAUGCGGCUGUCACUUACCACCAUCUGCUGUGGCCUGAACAUUUGUGCCCUCCCCAGAGUCCUAUGUUGAAACCUAACCCCCACAGUGAUGUCUUUAGGAGACGUGAUUCACGAGGGUUGAGCCCUCAUGAACCGAAUUAAGAGACCCCAGAGAGCUUGCUAGCCUCUUCCUCCUCGGGAGGACAUGAGAAGCCCACAGCCCAGACGAGGGCCCCCACGUGCCUGCACCGGCCAGCGCCCUGAUCUUGGACUUCCAGCCUCCAGAACUUUCUGGAGGUCAGAAAUCCGAAAUCAGCUUCACUGCCCUGAAGCCAAAAGUGUUGACAGGGUAAGGACCUCAGUCCUGUUGCUAGUGACAAGGAACUGAAUUCUGCCAACAACCCGUGAGCUUACAAGAGGAUCGCAAGCCUCAGAGGACAUAGGAGAUGAGAUGUUGACUGUGGCCUUGUGAAGACUCUCGACAGGAGGAGACUUAGUCAAGAUGUGCCCGGACUCCAGACCCUUGGACACGCCAAGAGGGUCCAGAAGAAGCAAAAGGAAAGAAAUGCCACACGUUGGUGGCUGUGAGCACACCCAGCACCCAGACCUUGGAUUCUAAACACCGUUCUUCAAUAAAGGAAAACAGGGCCAUUGGAGAACCGGCUGGUCCCAGGGGUGGGGCCAGGAAGUAAGGAAGUACUCAAAAAACAAGAUGGUGGGUGUGUGCCAAGGGGACUCCAGAGCCAACUGGAAGAACUCCCAAUGGCCAAACCUGAAACAACUUAAACAAAAUAAAUAAAAGAGCAUUGAAUUAUAACCCCAAAGUAUAAAACAAAUAUCUCUGAGCCUGCCCCAACACAAAUGAGUGGGUAAAUAAAUAAAGAAGAAUAGAGAAUUCUCAUUAGAGUCCUAUACUCUUAAUACUCUCAAAAUGUCACAGGCUGUGCGUAGCCACUUCCAACCAGAGUGCAAGUGUAGAAAGGGGUACAGGAUGGAGAACCCCGACAAACACUGCCUCUGCUGUGCAAUCAAGCUUAACAUCAUCAGCGGUGAGUCGGCUGGCAGCAUGUACCUCAGAUGUGCUGUGGGGGGAACGGUACUUUACCUUUGCUGUCUUCCUCUCAAGAACCCUAAACCCAAUCGUGAGAAAAACAUCAGACAAACCCAAGCUGAGGGCCAGUCUGGAAAGUGUCCUGACCCAUACUCUUCAAAACCACCAAGGUCAUCAAGACAAGCAAAUUCUGAGAAACUGUCACAGUCCAGAGGAGCCUAAGGAGAAAGGAUGUUUCAAUGUAACAUAUGCUGGUUGAGAUCCUGGGACAGAAGAGGACAUCAGGGAAAAACUGAGGAAAUUCGAAUAAAGUGUGGACUUUACUUAGUAAUAAUGUAUUGAUUCGUUAGUUUUGGCAAAUGUAUCAUACUUACAUAAGAUAUUGACAAUGGGGACAGCUGGACGCUGGGUAUAAGGGAAACCUCUGUACUUCCCUUGCAACUUUUUGUACGUCUAAAACUAUCUAAAAUUUUUAGAUAUUUAUUUAUAUAUUUAUCUGACAGAGAGAGACAGAACACAAGCAGAGGGGAGGAGCAA
Long non-coding RNA from Ailuropoda melanoleuca (giant panda), 1606 nucleotides. RefSeq lists it as uncharacterized. Lineage: Eukaryota; Metazoa; Chordata; Mammalia; Carnivora; Ursidae. The transcript is spliced from 3 exons. The record is from RefSeq and is a predicted model, not a curated record.